GGGACACGUGGUAUCCUGUCUGAAUAUGGGGGGACCAUCCUCCAAGGCUAAAUACUCCUGACUGACCGAUAGUGAACCAGUACCGUGAGGGAAAGGCGAAAAGAACCCCGGCGAGGGGAGUGAAAAAGAACCUGAAACCGUGUACGUACAAGCAGUGGGAGCCUCUUAAUGGGGUGACUGCGUACCUUUUGUAUAAUGGGUCAGCGACUUAUAUUCUGUAGCAAGGUUAACCGAAUAGGGGAGCCGAAGGGAAACCGAGUCUUAACUGGGCGUUAAGUUGCAGGGUAUAGACCCGAAACCCGGUGAUCUAGCCAUGGGCAGGUUGAAGGUUGGGUAACACUAACUGGAGGACCGAACCGACUAAUGUUGAAAAAUUAGCGGAUG
This 384-nucleotide ribosomal RNA is filed under the name Escherichia coli. RNAcentral describes it as "partial 23S ribosomal RNA". It matches the Rfam family "Bacterial large subunit ribosomal RNA", at positions 419 to 806 of the family's 2925-position model. The record is from RNAcentral. Lineage: Bacteria; Pseudomonadati; Pseudomonadota; Gammaproteobacteria; Enterobacterales; Enterobacteriaceae.